RNAcentral lists this unclassified non-coding RNA (421 nucleotides) under soil metagenome. Its description in RNAcentral is "partial contains 5.8S ribosomal RNA, internal transcribed spacer 2, and large subunit ribosomal RNA". The stretch from base 1 to 120 matches the Rfam family "5.8S ribosomal RNA", at positions 35 to 154 of the family's 154-position model. The record is from RNAcentral.
GAUGAAGAACGUAGCGAAAUGCGAUAAGUAAUGUGAAUUGCAGAUUUCAGUGAAUCAUCGAAUCUUUGAACGCACCUUGCGCCUUGUGGUAUUCCACAAGGCAUGCCCGUUUGAGUAUCAUUAAAUCAUCAACUCUAAAACCUUUGUGGUUUUUUUAGAGCUUGGUCUUGAGGGUUUUGCAGGCUUUUUUUUUUCGAGUCUGCUCCCUUUAAAUGCAUUAGCGAGACUUCCCUAUGCUGAACCGUCUCUUUGACGUGAUAAUUAUCUGCGUCGAAUUUUGGUUCUCGUUUGGCUUGCUUCUAAUCGUCUGUUAAAGACAAAACGGAUUUGGGUGCAUAUAUGCGCCUUUUUCCAAAACCUUUUUUGAUCUCAAAUCGGGUAGGACUACCCGCUGAACUUAAGCAUAUCAAUAAGCGGAGGA